AGUGGAUGGGGAGCAACCUAGUUGUGCGUGUGUAAAGGUAGUGCCAAGAAAAGCGAUGAUCAUGUUGAAAAUCAAUUCCCGGUACCCGAAACCGACACAGGUGGGCAAGUAGAGAAUACUAAGGGGCGCGAGGUAACUCUCUCCAAGGAACUCGGCAAAAUGACCCCGUAACUUAGGGAGAAGGGGUGCCACCGAGAGGUGGUCGCAGUGAAGAGGCCCAGGCGACUGUUUAGCAAAAACAUAGGUCUCUGCAAACUCGAAAGAGGAGGUAUAGGGGCUGACGCCUGCCCAGUGCCGGAAGGUUAAAGAAGUUGGUCAGUCUUAGGAUGAAGCUAGCGACUGAAGCCCCGGUGAACGGCGGCCGUAACUAUAACGGUCCUAAGGUAGCGAAAUUCCUUGUCGGGUAAGUUCCGACCCGCACGAAAGGCGUAACGAUCUGGGCGCUGUCUCGGAGAGAGGCUCGGCGAAAUAGGAUUGUCUGUGAAGAUACGGACUACCUGCAUUUGGACAGAAAGACCCUAUGAAGCUUUACUAUAGCUCGGAAUUGUGUUCGGGCUUCCUGUGCGCAGGAUAGGUGGGAGGCGUAGAAGGUAUUCUUGUGGGGACACUGGAGCCAACGGUGAGAUACCACUCUCAGGAGGCUAGAAUUCUAACUUAAUUAAGGACAGUUUCAGGUGGGUAGUUUGACUGGGGCGGUCGCCUCCAAAAAGGUAACGGAGGCGUACAAAGGUUCCCUCAGACUGGUUGGAAAUCAGUCGAAGAGUGCAAAGGCAGAAGGGAGCUUGACUGCGAGAAGUACAGUUCGAGCAGGGUGGAAACACGGUCUUAGUGAUCCGACGGUGCUGUGUGGAAGGGCCGUCGCUCAACGGAUAAAAGUUACUCUAGGAUAACAGGCUGAUCUCCCCCAAGAGUUCACAUCGACGGGGAGGUUUGGCACCUCGAUGUCGGCUCAUCGCAACCUGGGGCGGAAGUACGUCCCAAGGGUUGGGCUGUUCGCCCAUUAAAGCGGUACGUGAGCUGGGUUCAGAACGUCGUGAGACAGUUCGGUCCAUAUCCGAUGUAGGCGUGAGAAUAUUGAGAGGAGCCUUCCUUAGUACGAGAGGACCGGGAAGGACGCACCGCUGGUGUACCUGUUAUGAUGCCAAUUGUAAACGCAGGGUAGCCAAGGGCGGAGAGGAUAACCGCUGAAAGCAUCUAAGUGGGAAGCCCACCUCAAGAUGAGUAUUCUGGUGUAAGGUCACGGGAAGACGACCCGUAAAUAGGCACGAGGUGGAAGUGCAGAGAUGUAUGAAGCCGAAGUGUACUAAUAGACCGUCGGCUUG
RNAcentral lists this ribosomal RNA (1322 nucleotides) under metagenome. RNAcentral describes it as "bacterial LSU rRNA". It matches the Rfam family "Bacterial large subunit ribosomal RNA", at positions 1561 to 2925 of the family's 2925-position model. The record is from RNAcentral.